RNAcentral lists this ribosomal RNA (267 nucleotides) under uncultured bacterium. RNAcentral describes it as "partial 16S ribosomal RNA". It matches the Rfam family "Bacterial small subunit ribosomal RNA", at positions 355 to 619 of the family's 1533-position model. The record is from RNAcentral.
UGAGGAAUAUUGGUCAAUGGGCGGAAGCCUGAACCAGCCAUCCCGCGUGAAGGAAGAAGGCCUUAUGGGUUGUAAACUUCUUUUCUGUUUGAAGAAUAAGCUUGUCGUGACAAGUGAUGCCGGUAGGACAGGAAUAAGCAUCGGCUAACUCCGUGCCAGCAGCCGCGGUAAUACGGAGGAUGCAAGCGUUAUCCGGAUUUAUUGGGUUUAAAGGGUGCGCAGGUGGUUUAAUAAGUCAGUGGUGAAAGUCUGCCGCUUAACGGUAGG